CUAACCUCAAAUCAGGUAGGACUACCCGCUGAACUUAA
RNAcentral lists this ribosomal RNA (38 nucleotides) under Ceriporiopsis sp. PRM 899297. RNAcentral's name for it is "partial 28S ribosomal RNA". The record is from RNAcentral. RNAcentral also lists the same sequence under 2 other names. Lineage: Eukaryota; Fungi; Basidiomycota; Agaricomycetes; Polyporales; Meruliaceae.